UUUCCGUAGGUGAACCUGCGGAAGGAUCAUUCAU
This 34-nucleotide ribosomal RNA is filed under the name Sirodotia suecica. RNAcentral's name for it is "partial 18S ribosomal RNA". The record is from RNAcentral. Lineage: Eukaryota; Rhodophyta; Florideophyceae; Batrachospermales; Batrachospermaceae. RNAcentral also lists the same sequence under 1 other name.